Non-coding RNA from Daldinia loculata, 77 nucleotides. The record is from the annotation of a RefSeq genome assembly. NCBI's taxonomy places the organism in Eukaryota, Fungi, Ascomycota, Sordariomycetes, Xylariales, Hypoxylaceae.
GCCCGGUUAGCUCAAUCGGUAGAGCGUGAGACUCUUAAUCUCAAGGUUGCGGGUAAGUCAAUCCUCAACAUCUGAGA